AUGCUGUUGUUUACCUUCAUCUUCAUCUCUCCCGGCCUCAGUUUCCUCUUCCAUAAAGAGGACCAGAGGGUGUCUGUCUCAUCUAUCCUGUUCCUUUUACAGAUGGGAAGUCUGGGGCCCAGCAUGGACGAGCGACUUGCUCAAGGCCACACAGCCAGCGCUGGGCGGAGGCGGCAUUGGAAGCCAGCUCCGGGGACGUCCCGUCCCGUCCCGUCCCGUGCGAGGGUUGGGUUCCGGCUACGUGCCAAGGCAGGGCUCCGCGCCCGGGCGGAUGACGAAGGCUGCCAGGGCUCCGGGACGGCGGCGGAGACAGGACAGGACGGGACAGGACGGCAUGUCCACGGCGCCCUGGGACAGCGGAAGCGGCGGCUGCUUUGGCUGCCCACGUCUCCUAGCAACGGGUCCCCAGCCGCCGCGCCCGAGCCUCUCGGAUCGCUCGGCCUCUGUGACGUCACCGUCUCCAUGCUCCUUUUUACCGAUGAGGAAACUGAGAUAAACAAGGUUGAGCAACUUGCCCAGGGCCACCCUGCGAGUCAGCGUCUUAGGCUGGAUUCGAACUCAGAAAGACGCCUUCCUGUACUCUAUCCCCUCAGCGUCAUUCCUCAGUGGGUUCGUAGGCAAAGGAGGGCAGCUCGCAUUUCCAAAGGAAGAACGGCCUGGACCGCCAUCACACCACCCCGAGGGUUCCUUUCAGACCCAGCACACUGGCAAAGGCCGCUGGUGGAGUCCCAGAGCUGCCGCCAUCUUGGAAAGCUGCUGAGCAAUGGGACCCCACGGAUCCCUAGAGAGCGAGACCUCAUGUAUGCCAAACUAUGGAGAACAGCACUUUUUGGGACAGGAAAACUGGUCACCAAAUAGAUGGCCAUCCGUUGGGGAAUGGCUGAGAACAGGAGGGGGGUGGAAGGCUUUGGAGAGAGGCCUGGGGAGACUUGGGAAAUGAGUGAGAGGGAAGUCUGCAACACCAGGGAAAUUCUCCCUGGCGGAUGCCGAGAAGGCUCACGGGAGGCACCCAAAGAAAGGCUCACACCAAAGACCGGCAUUUGGCAUUUCUAAAGAGCCAGGCUGGCCCCAGAGAAGCCAUGACACAAUGCAUCUCCUCUCUGCUCCCUGCCAGUUUCCUGGUGGCCUGGGGAAUGGAAGGCUCCACCAGCUCACCCUGGCUUCUGGGUCGAGCCAUCUUCUUUCUCCCUUGUCCAAGGGAUGGACAGCUGACAGAAUCGAGGAGGAGGAGGAGGAGGAGGAGGAGGAGGAGNGAGGCUCAGAGGUCAUGUGAUUUGCCUAAAGUCACAUGAUUAACUUAAGUGUUACAAUUGAGACCAGCACCCAGAAUUGAAAAUUCCUGUUCCAGAGUCUUUUCUAUUCUCAAAUACACAAAUGGUUAUAUAAUUCCAUUAAUGUAGAUAUUCCCCCACAAUGAGGGAAGCCAUAAUGGAGGCAAAUCCAUGUAUGCGUAUUCCAUAUGACUCAUUGAUAUUUUGUCAUAAGAAUCUACUACUGAUUGGGUCACAUGGUUAUUUUUAGGUUUAGCACUAUUGUUCUCUAUAAUUUUGUUUAAGGUGCCACCCAGAUCCAUCGUUCACAACUUGUACACUAUACCUUAGAGCCACCCAAUAAACUCAGAAUGACACUGGGGAAUAUUCCA
Molecule: long non-coding RNA, 1642 nt
Filed under: Monodelphis domestica (gray short-tailed opossum)
Lineage: Eukaryota; Metazoa; Chordata; Mammalia; Didelphimorphia; Didelphidae
Description: lncRNA (ENSMODG00000036387.1)
Source: RNAcentral